GGCCUUGUAGUCAAGAAUGACGUUAGACUGCAAUUCUAAAGGAGUAAAAUUUUACUAAGGCUU
Molecule: transfer RNA, 63 nt
Filed under: Gasterophilus nasalis
Lineage: Eukaryota; Metazoa; Arthropoda; Insecta; Diptera; Oestridae
Description: tRNA-Cys
Rfam family: tRNA
About the family: Transfer RNA (tRNA) molecules are approximately 80 nucleotides in length.
Source: RNAcentral